This 240-nucleotide ribosomal RNA is filed under the name uncultured bacterium. RNAcentral's name for it is "partial 16S ribosomal RNA". It matches the Rfam family "Bacterial small subunit ribosomal RNA", at positions 111 to 334 of the family's 1533-position model. The record is from RNAcentral.
UAACACGUAAACAACCUGCCUUCAGGAUGGGGACAACAGACGGAAACGACUGCUAAUACCGAAUACGUUCCACGGGCCGCAUGACCUGUGGAAGAAAGGGUAGCCUCUACCUGUAAGCUAUCGCCUGAAGAGGGGUUUGCGUCUGAUUAGGCAGUUGGUGGGGUAACGGCUCACCAAACCAACGAUCAGUAGCCGGUCUGAGAGGAUGAACGGCCACACUGGAACUGAGACACGGUCCAG